Onthophagus taurus is the source of this 611-nucleotide non-coding RNA. The record is from RefSeq and is a predicted model, not a curated record. Lineage: Eukaryota; Metazoa; Arthropoda; Insecta; Coleoptera; Scarabaeidae.
UGAACUGUUAAGACCGACUCAAAUUCACCUUUGUGUUUCUCCUUCUCGUUACUCGAAGAACAUUUCACCCUUUUUUGGGGUUUCUUUUCACAUUCUCCGGUUUUUUCAUUGAGGUUCCCAAAACCACUUUUGACGUAAGUCACCAUCUGCUCAUUCUUUUAUUUCUCAAACUUCUUUUUCGGGUUAUUUUUCAGAUUUCUGUUUCUGCCUAAACUCUAUAUUUUAAAAUCAUCCUUUCACCACCCUACAAUAUUAAUUACUUAUUCCUUUUCAUAUUUCCCGUUACUUAAUUUAAGUCACCCUUUGUUUUUUGUUUUUACCGUAAUGAUUCACCGAUGUGGGUUUUGAUGGUUUUUGCACUUUGGCCGGACUUUCCUUUCAACUCAACCACGUAUUCUUCCAAUUUGACGGUAAAUAUUUGUUUUGUUAGUAGUGUUUAGUAUCAUAACAGUUAAGUUGGUUAUGUUUAGUAUCAUAAUAUUUUAAUUAUUAUUAUUUUUUGACAUGUCUUUUCUCUCUUUGUUUACUAUUCUUAGUCGUGCCCGAUGAAGACAAAUUAUUGUCGAAACAUGUAGCACCGAACCAAUUUAAUAAAAGAAUUUUCAUCGUCA